This 314-nucleotide long non-coding RNA is filed under the name Anas platyrhynchos platyrhynchos (common mallard). RNAcentral describes it as "lncRNA (ENSAPLG00000026457.1)". The record is from RNAcentral. Lineage: Eukaryota; Metazoa; Chordata; Aves; Anseriformes; Anatidae.
UUUCUCCAGUUCAUGCUGAUGCAGCCAAGAUUGGGUGUGACCUCUGUGUGAGAUGAAAUAUUACUGGUUGAGUGUUCCUCCCUUGCGUUCAUUCGGAGCCAAAGGCCUAUGAUGGACAGUCCUAUGCUAAUGAGAUAAUACGAUAUACUAUCCAGCCAUCAGAUUGGACUGAGUAUCAUCAUUUCCAGGAAGAUCUGUAGUUGAAAUUGUCCUGGCUGUAUGUGUUGUCCUGAUGUCAACUGGCAAAUGACAAAACCAGCCUGGCAAUGAAGAAGCUCAUAAAGAAACAACGUUCUGCAGCCCCAGCAGACGGC